CUUUGGGUUUUGUUCUCACGGGCAGAUUCAUUGUGAGCCCUUCCUUAAGGCCAAGCUAACCCAGAGCUCCCGAAAAACACUCCACACGGGCACAGCAGCACAACAAAAGGAGUCUCCCGAAUCAGCAGAUGUGGCUUCUUUUAGCUGAAUAAUCCGUUAAAGGAAUAAUAAUUUUUAAAAGGGGGAUCGACCUCACCCAAAGAGGACGGCGAGCGAGAUUAGGGCUUGAUGUACUGCCUUUCGUUGGAACGCCGCGGACUGAGACCAGUCCCUCAAGAAGAAGAACAAAAAGACGAAGACCUGAGUGGACCCCCCACCCACCCCCGCCCCGGACAAAGCACUUUGGGCUCGGCGAGAAGGGACGAGCCGGAGCGCUAGCUCGGGAAUACGAGUGAUCUCCGGUCCGCCCGGCGUGCGGACCUCCGAGGGGACUCGAAUUUUAUUUAGCCUCUUGGGAUCCAGCGCAUUAGACAAGAGUGACCUUUUAUAUCUGUGCCCACCCUUCACCUGCGAGAGGACUGCAGCAACCGAGUUCUGGAAGGCUGAUUCCCCAGAUUCUGGCCCCGGACCCCGGCAGCUCGCCCCUGCGGCACGCCCGGCCGGGUAGCGCCUGGACUCAGCAAGCUAGGAAAAAGCCUGGAUCCGAAAGGAUGGGGGAGAACAAAGAGCCUUUGCAAGACGUCGCUGUUAUCUCAUUGUCUGUGUGACUGGGGGAGCUGCGGUAGAGAGGAUGCUGUGGUCCUUUCCUCCCGGCGCUCCCCCACCCCCACGCCUUUCCCCGCUGUCAGUGCGCACGCACACGCGCCGCUUUUUACUUGUUUUUCCCGUUUUCUCAUUCCAUCUUCUCCCCACCCGCCCCCCUGCUUUCUUCCACC
Molecule: long non-coding RNA, 875 nt
Organism: Bos taurus (domestic cattle)
Lineage: Eukaryota; Metazoa; Chordata; Mammalia; Artiodactyla; Bovidae
Source: Ensembl